CGUGCUUAACACAUGCAAGUCGAACGAAGCACCUUACCGGAUUUCUUCGGAUGAAAGUUUGGUGACUGAGUGGCGGACGGGUGAGUAACGCGUGGGUAACCUGCCCUGUACAGGGGGAUAACAGCUGGAAACGGCUGCUAAUACCGCAUAAGCGCACGAGGAGACAUCUCCUUGUGUGAAAAACUCCGGUGGUACAGGAUGGGCCCGCGUCUGAUUAGCUGGUUGGCAGGGUAACGGCCUACCAAGGCAACGAUCAGUAGCCGGUCUGAGAGGAUGAACGGCCACAUUGGAACUGAGACACGGUCCAAACUCCUACGGGAGGCAGCAGUGGGGAAUAUUGCACAAUGGGGGAAACCCUGAUGCAGCAACGCCGCGUGAGUGAAGAAGUAUUUCGGUAUGUAAAGCUCUAUCAGCAGGGAAGAUAAUGACGGUACCUGACUAAGAAGCUCCGGCUAAAUACGUGCCAGCAGCCGCGGUAAUACGUAUGGAGCAAGCGUUAUCCGGAUUUACUGGGUGUAAAGGGUGCGUAGGUGGCAGUGCAAGUCAGAUGUGAAAGGCCGGGGCUCAACCCCGGAGCUGCAUUUGAAACUGCUCGGCUAGAGUACAGGAGAGGCAGGCGGAAUUCCUAGUGUAGCGGUGAAAUGCGUAGAUAUUAGGAGGAACACCAGUGGCGAAGGCGGCCUGCUGGACUGUUACUGACACUGAGGCA
Molecule: ribosomal RNA, 709 nt
Filed under: uncultured Lachnospiraceae bacterium
Lineage: Bacteria; Bacillati; Bacillota; Clostridia; Lachnospirales; Lachnospiraceae
Description: bacterial SSU rRNA
Rfam family: Bacterial small subunit ribosomal RNA
Source: RNAcentral